AGGGAAACCGAGUCUUAACCGGGCGUUAAGUUGCAGGGUAUAGACCCGAAACCCGGUGAUCUAGCCAUGGGCAGGUUGAAGGUUGGGUAACACUAACUGGAGGACCGAACCGACUAAUGUUGAAAAAUUAGCGGAUGACUUGUGGCUGGGGGUGAAAGGCCAAUCAAACCGGGAGAUAGCUGGUUCUCCCCGAAAGCUAUUUAGGUAGCGCCUCGUGAACUCAUCUUCGGGGGUAGAGCACUGUUUCGGCUAGGGGGUCAUCCCGACUUACCAACCCGAUGCAAACUGCGAAUACCGAAGAAUGUUAUCACGGGAGACACACGGCGGGUGCUAACGUCCGUCGUGAAGAGGGAAACAACCCAGACCGCCAGCUAAGGUCCCAAAGUCACAGUUAAGUGGGAAACGAUGUGGGAAGGCUCAGACAGCCAGGAUGUUGGCUUAGAAGCAGCCAUCAUUUAAAGAAAGCGUAAUAGCUCACUGGUCGAGUCGGCCUGCGCGGAAGAUGUAACGGGGCUAAACUGUGCACCGAAGCUGCGGCAGCGACGCUUAUGCGUUGUUGGGUAGGGGAGCGUUCUGUAAGCCUGCGAAGGUGUCCUGUGAGGGAUGCUGGAGGUAUCAGAAGUGCGAAUGCUGACAUAAGUAACGAUAA
Molecule: ribosomal RNA, 649 nt
Filed under: Salmonella enterica
Lineage: Bacteria; Pseudomonadati; Pseudomonadota; Gammaproteobacteria; Enterobacterales; Enterobacteriaceae
Also listed under: 3 other names
Description: partial 23S ribosomal RNA
Rfam family: Bacterial large subunit ribosomal RNA
Source: RNAcentral